RNAcentral lists this ribosomal RNA (449 nucleotides) under uncultured bacterium. RNAcentral's name for it is "bacterial SSU rRNA". It matches the Rfam family "Bacterial small subunit ribosomal RNA", at positions 355 to 796 of the family's 1533-position model. The record is from RNAcentral.
UGGGGAAUAUUGGACAAUGGGGGGAACCCUGAUCCAGCAAUGCCGCGUGUGUGAAGAAGGCCUGAGGGUUGUAAAGCACUUUCAGUGGGGAGGAGGAAUGGUAGGUUAAGAGCUGACUAUUUGGACGUUACCCACAGAAGAAGCACCGGCUAACUCCGUGCCAGCAGCCGCGGUAAUACGGAGGGUGCGAGCGUUAAUCGGAAUUACUGGGCGUAAAGGGUGCGUAGGUGGUUGUUUAAGUUAUCUGUGAAAUCCCUGGGCUUAACCUGGGCCUGUCAGAUAAGACUGGAUGACUCGAGUAUAGGAGAGGGUAGUGGAAUUUCCGGUGUAGCGGUGAAAUGCGUAGAGAUCGGAAGGAACAUCGGUGGCGAAGGCGGCUACCUGGCCUGAUACUGACACUGAGGCACGAAAGCGUGGGGAGCAAACAGGAUUAGAUACCCCCGUAGUCC